RNAcentral lists this unclassified non-coding RNA (339 nucleotides) under soil metagenome. RNAcentral's name for it is "partial contains 5.8S ribosomal RNA, internal transcribed spacer 2, and large subunit ribosomal RNA". The stretch from base 1 to 120 matches the Rfam family "5.8S ribosomal RNA", at positions 35 to 154 of the family's 154-position model. The record is from RNAcentral.
GAUGAAGAACGUAGCGAAAUGCGAUAAGUAAUGCGAAUUGCAGAAUUCCGUGAGUCAUCGAAUCUUUGAACGCACAUUGCGCCCUCUGGUAUUCCGGAGGGCAUGCCUGUCUGAGCGUCAUUGUCAACCCUCAAGCUCAGCUUGCUGUUGGGUCCCCGUCGUUGCUUUAACGGCGGACCCGAAAGGUAAUGGCAGAGUCCGUGAGACCCUAGACGCAGCGAGCUUCUAGCACGCGUCUGGACGUUUUUCGGCCUCGGUCUUAACUAGAUGAUAACUUCCGAUUGACCUCAGAUCAGGUAGGGAUACCCGCUGAACUUAAGCAUAUCAAUAAGCGGAGGA